AUGACUUCCAGAAGAUCAAAGUAAGCCUAGAGUCCGAAACUGCCAAAUUUAACCGAACAGAAGACGAGCUCGAAAGGACCAAAGUUAGUUUGGAGUCUGAAGUGACCAGAUCUAAUCGGACUAAAGAAGAGCUGAACACAUGCGCAGCAGAAUUAACUGUCUCUAAAUCUCAAAUGGAAGGAGUGAGAAGGUUCCAGAACAUCACGAAGUGGGAUUUUCUUUACACGGGCCCUUACAUUAAUAAAGUGUUCACUGAGGAUGUUUUGGAGGACCUGAAAUCUUCGUGGAAUUUAAUGAGUGAAUUCGUCGGGGUCAACAUCACAAAUGAGAUAGCGGAACACUUGCGAACACACGAUGUUGGUACUGCUAAGUGCGGUGCACAAAUGAAUGACAUCUUUUCCAUGUGGGGUGAGGAAGAUUAAUAUGCGAACUUAUGAAGAACGACAAAAUGGUGAUGACGAGGGGCCUUCUCCAGCACUUUAUUGAAAAUCACAACGAAGUGCCUUGUGAUGAAUGAGUUGGAUGCUGAUCAAGUUUACGAUGGAGAUUUGAAAUUAAAAGAGACCAAGUUCUUGAACGUUUUACGUUAUUUUUUAUACUAGAACAAUAAUUAAUCUAUUAAGGCAAGGGCCGCAAGUUGAUACGAUUAGCUUGCUCUGAUAACACGUAAAUGAAAAAAUGUCUGAUUCUUAC
This is a long non-coding RNA of Bolinopsis microptera, 693 nucleotides long. RefSeq lists it as uncharacterized. The record is from RefSeq and is a predicted model, not a curated record. The transcript is spliced from 3 exons. Lineage: Eukaryota; Metazoa; Ctenophora; Tentaculata; Lobata; Bolinopsidae.